Molecule: long non-coding RNA, 595 nt
Filed under: Nicotiana benthamiana
Lineage: Eukaryota; Viridiplantae; Streptophyta; Magnoliopsida; Solanales; Solanaceae
Description: long non-coding RNA (NBEN_LNC038034)
Source: RNAcentral
GCAAACAAUGGCAGAAUAUAAAAUAGUUUGAGUGGAAUUACAUGAGCAUAGGAAAUGGGAGUAGAAAGAACACAAUCGAAAUGAGCAACUGGAUUAGAUAAGGAAACACAAUUCACAAGCUAAUUAAUUGAAACUUUUAAUUAAAGGUCGGCGCAACUCUUAUUUGUCGUUACACAAACAGAAUUCAUAAAAAAAGGAGCUUCCCCUAUACAAAAAGACUUUCCCUUACAUGAAUUAAAAAAACGUUCUCCAUGAAAGAAAUAUAGCUGAAGAUUGAUUAUUUCACUACUUCAAACUCGAAAUAUGACAAACUGUGAAUGGGACUACGGACGAAACCGCGAACCGAGCUGCAAACGGACUCAAUUUGGCUUCUUCAGGUUUGAAAUUGUUGGAUUGAGGUAAUGAUGGAGAAGAAAAGGGAUUUUUUGGGUGGAAUUGGGUGUUGUUGUCAUGUUUAGUUGAAGAAGAAAGAGGCGUUCUUCUUUUCUUUCAUCAUAUGCGGCUGAUUGUGUGUUUUUAUGUGUGUAGAGUGUUUCUUUUUCAUAUUUAGCUAUAGGUAAUAUUAUAUAGGGGCAAUAAUUAUGGGCUAGGGAAU